This 1165-nucleotide ribosomal RNA is filed under the name Shigella flexneri. RNAcentral's name for it is "partial 23S ribosomal RNA". It matches the Rfam family "Bacterial large subunit ribosomal RNA", at positions 1 to 1198 of the family's 2925-position model. RNAcentral also lists the same sequence under 1 other name. The record is from RNAcentral. Lineage: Bacteria; Pseudomonadati; Pseudomonadota; Gammaproteobacteria; Enterobacterales; Enterobacteriaceae.
GGGUUGUGAGGUUAAGCGACUAAGCGUACACGGUGGAUGCCCUGGCAGUCAGAGGCGAUGAAGGACGUGCUAAUCUGCGAUAAGCGUCGGUAAGGUGAUAUGAACCGUUAUAACCGGCGAUUUCCGAAUGGGGAAACCCAGUGUGAUUCGUCACACUAUCAUUAACUGAAUCCAUAGGUUAAUGAGGCGAACCGGGGGAACUGAAACAUCUAAGUACCCCGAGGAAAAGAAAUCAACCGAGAUUCCCCCAGUAGCGGCGAGCGAACGGGGAGCAGCCCAGAGCCUGAAUCAGUGUGUGUGUUAGUGGAAGCGUCUGGAAAGGCGUGCGAUACAGGGUGACAGCCCCGUACACAAAAAUGCACAUACUGUGAGCUCGAUGAGUAGGGCGGGACACGUGGUAUCCUGUCUGAAUAUGGGGGGACCAUCCUCCAAGGCUAAAUACUCCUGACUGACCGAUAGUGAACCAGUACCGUGAGGGAAAGGCGAAAAGAACCCCGGCGAGGGGAGUGAAAAAGAACCUGAAACCGUGUACGUACAAGCAGUGGGAGCACGCUUAGGCGUGUGACUGCGUACCUUUUGUAUAAUGGGUCAGCGACUUAUAUUCUGUAGCAAGGUUAACCGAAUAGGGGAGCCGAAGGGAAACCGAGUCUUAACUGGGCGUUAAGUUGCAGGGUAUAGACCCGAAACCCGGUGAUCUAGCCAUGGGCAGGUUGAAGGUUGGGUAACACUAACUGGAGGACCGAACCGACUAAUGUUGAAAAAUUAGCGGAUGACUUGUGGCUGGGGGUGAAAGGCCAAUCAAACCGGGAGAUAGCUGGUUCUCCCCGAAAGCUAUUUAGGUAGCGCCUCGUGAAUUCAUCUCCGGGGGUAGAGCACUGUUUCGGCAAGGGGGUCAUCCCGACUUACCAACCCGAUGCAAACUGCGAAUACCGGAGAAUGUUAUCACGGGAGACACACGGCGGGUGCUAACGUCCGUCGUGAAGAGGGAAACAACCCAGACCGCCAGCUAAGGUCCCAAAGUCAUGGUUAAGUGGGAAACGAUGUGGGAAGGCCCAGACAGCCAGGAUGUUGGCUUAGAAGCAGCCAUCAUUUAAAGAAAGCGUAAUAGCUCACUGGUCGAGUCGGCCUGCGCGGAAGAUGUAACGGGGCUAAACCAUGCACCGAA